ACGGUGGGCACUAGUUGUGGGAACCUUCCACGGUUUCUGCGACGCAGCUAACGCAUUAAGUGCCCCGCCUGGGGAGUACGAUCGCAAGAUUAAAACUCAAAGGAAUUUGACGGGGCCCCGCACAAGCAGCGGAGCAUGCGGCUUAAUUCGACGCAACGCGAAGAACCUUACCAAGGCUUGACAUAUAGGGAAAAGUGGCAGAGAUGUCAUGUCCGCAAGGGCUCUACACAGGUGGUGCAUGGUUGUCGUCAGCUCGUGUCGUGAGAUGUUGGGUUAAGUCCCGCAACGAGCGCAACCCUCGUUCUGUGUUGCCAGCAUUUAGUUGGGGACUCACAGGAGACUGCCGGGGUUAACUCGGAGGAAGGUGGGGAUGACGUCAAAUCAUCAUGCCCCUUAUGUCUUGGGCUGCACGCAUGCUACAAUGGCCGGUACAGAGGGCUGCAAUACCGUAAGGUGGAGCGAAUCCCAAAAAGCCGGUCUCAGUUCGGAUUGAGGUCUGCAACUCGACCUCAUGAAGUUGGAGUUGCUAGUAAUCGUAGAUCAGCAUCGCUACGGUGAAUACGUUCCCGGGGCUUGUACACACCGCCCGUCACGUC
RNAcentral lists this ribosomal RNA (596 nucleotides) under uncultured Actinomycetes bacterium. RNAcentral's name for it is "bacterial SSU rRNA". It matches the Rfam family "Bacterial small subunit ribosomal RNA", at positions 806 to 1403 of the family's 1533-position model. Lineage: Bacteria; Bacillati; Actinomycetota; Actinomycetes. The record is from RNAcentral.